RNAcentral lists this ribosomal RNA (497 nucleotides) under uncultured bacterium. RNAcentral's name for it is "partial 16S ribosomal RNA". It matches the Rfam family "Bacterial small subunit ribosomal RNA", at positions 28 to 507 of the family's 1533-position model. The record is from RNAcentral.
GAUGAACGCUGGCGGCGUGCCUAAUACAUGCAAGUCGAGCGAACAGACGAGGAGCUUGCUCCUCUGACGUUAGCGGCGGACGGGUGAGUAACACGUGGAUAACCUUCCUAUAAGGCUGGGAUAACUUCGGGAAACCGGAGCUAAUACCGGAUAAUAUAUUGAACCGCAUGGUUCAAUAGUGAAAGACGGUUUUGCUGUCACUUAUAGAUGGAUCCGCGCCGCAUUAGCUAGUUGGUAAGGUAACGGCUUACCAAGGCAACGAUGCGUAGCCGACCUGAGAGGGUGAUCGGCCACACUGGAACUGAGACACGGUCCAGACUCCUACGGGAGGCAGCAGUAGGGAAUCUUCCGCAAUGGGCGAAAGCCUGACGGAGCAACGCCGCGUGAGUGAUGAAGGUCUUCGGAUCGUAAAACUCUGUUAUUAGGGAAGAACAAAUGUGUAAGUAACUAUGCACGUCUUGACGGUACCUAAUCAGAAAGCCACGGCUAACUACGUG